UGUCCAGCUGGCGACACGUGAAGACCGGC
RNAcentral lists this non-coding RNA (29 nucleotides) under Homo sapiens (human). The record is from RNAcentral. Lineage: Eukaryota; Metazoa; Chordata; Mammalia; Primates; Hominidae.